This 3034-nucleotide ribosomal RNA is filed under the name Triticum aestivum (bread wheat). RNAcentral describes it as "partial small subunit ribosomal RNA". Lineage: Eukaryota; Viridiplantae; Streptophyta; Magnoliopsida; Poales; Poaceae. The record is from RNAcentral.
GGGCCACUCCAAACCAAACCUACGCACGUAGAGGUCGGAGGAGGGUUCAGGAUGAGGAUGAUGACUUCUCUCUCUCUCUCUCUCUCUCUCGUAAGGGGAGGACCGGAGGAGGUUGGAGGGGGGGUCGACGGAGGGGAGGGUUUCGAGGGGUGAAGAGAGCGAGGCCGCAGCGUAAGCGGGGCCGGCGGGGCGGCUAAGGGAGCCCAGAAUAGGAGCGAACGCCGGACGGCUGUCGCCCCGAGGGGAGGCGAGCCUCAGAGGGGGCGCGGGGCGGCUUAAAGAGCCCGGUAAGAGAGGCCGCCGAGGCCCACGCCCGAAAGCCAGGCCCCGCGGCGCCGGGCGCUAGUAACGACCUCCUCUCGAAAAAGGCGCCUCCCCAAACCACGCCUCAGACCUGAUGGGCGCCGCAGGUAUCCAAUCUAGACCUCCAAAGCCGCGAGACCUAGACUCGACAAAGCCCACCUCCUUAGCCCUGACCGCCAGCGUUAGGAGGGUUGGUAAAACCACGACAGGCAAGACCCAAUGAUCCCCCAAACGCACAAGAUUUAUCCAACAUCGGGACGGUCUACUCCACUUGGUCCGACGAACGGUAACGAACAACGGUCACAACCAACGGUCAAAACCGAGGUGUUUAGACCGACCUCGGACUAGACAGGUUCGGUCGUAAUCAAGACACGAGAGACGCAGAUCAACUCGUUCCAACGUCGAAGAAAAACAACUAAAGCACCCGAAACAAAUCAUCGAAACUAUUGGACCUCUGACGUUCGUUUGUCUAGGGCAGGACGUCGAGAUCAUUAUUCCACCACGACCCCCUUCCGUGGUACUGGAUGAAAGGGCUCCUCCACCACCUCGUGUAUAAGUCGAAGAACGGGCGCGUUACACUGGCCUUGUGCCAAAGUGAACAAACGUUCCAUACCAUACUCUAACUUUCCGACUCGGCCGUUUGACAGAAACACCCAUUGACGAUACGACACGCGGGACUCGCACACCACGAAGCCAAGGGGUUACACGCCCGUGACUGUCACUUCCCCUUUGGUGUGAAACGACUAAAGUUGGAACACGGUGGACUAACCCCACCCAUGCGGCCUGGUACCUAGCUCCGUCGUCGGUCCCCGACGCACCCAGAACUCCUCGACGCCUACUUCGCCUACCACCACAGUCUACUCUCGGACCUCGACGAACGGUUUAGUAAGGGUGCUAAGUCCCGAGAUCAAGAAUAGUCGACACUCCCCAAGUCGUGGCUACCUGAUCGUCGAUAACGUUCAGUGACGUUCGAGGACUCCCUCAAUCUAAACGUCCUUUUACUCCACCUACUAGCUCCCGGUUCCACCGAGAGGACGAAGGGACUAAGGACGUGCAGGGAACAGAGGAACUUAAAGCGGACGUAGUUUCCCCUCCAAUUACGACCAAGUAAUCUCUCUGAACAACGAUCCAGGGGUUCAGAAGCCUCAAACUCCAACUUAGCUAGACACAGUCAUCUAUGUGAGAGUUUCUAUAAUUACGCGCGGGGAUUAAACCUCCUAGAUCCCUGACCCUUGAACUGUCUACUGAAGGUUCGACUUAGCAUAGAGUCCGACUGGGAACGUAACCUCUUUACGUUUGACGACUCCUCAAACAGCCCGAAAACCCUACGAAGGGGAAACACGGAAGGUAAGUAGAUAGGACAUACACCCGUUGAUUGUCCAAAUUUAAACUCGAUACGAGGCUGUGAACUAAGAAGGCUAGAGUGGUUUUACUAGUCGGUGACACACUUUGAGGUUGCAGAAACCCAUGACCUAACGUAGCGCCUAUUCCCGAACGUUCACCACCGGAGGUCAACGUUCCUAGAUGUUCUUGAGUCCCAUAAGGGCAGUCUGAAGAUAUAGCGGCCCAUAAGGGGUCAUUGUCUCCUCCCUGAACAACGUUAUAGGAAUCCGACAGUUUUUGACUCGAGUAACGAUAUAAAAACAGUAGUUUACUGCUUACGGCGUGACGAAUGAUAUCGAUUCUUGACGGGUUUAAAGUGCGCUAAGUCUGAGACAUAAGAACUCGGACCCUUCGGACUACGGUACUGUUUGGUUGGUAAUCUACUUCCAAAACCACGAUAACAAGCACUUACGUUCCCCGAUUCCGCUAACAGUUAUAGCCCAGAAGAGUGGCUGUUCCAAAAGUACAUAUAACCAUUUAAGCGCUUUGUUGAACUCUACGAAAGUUAUCGUAAACGACCUCUAUCACUACGCCCUUACUACGUACAAUACCUUCCUACGUUAUUAGACUCCUUCGACCUCUAAUCUCUAUCGGGUAAACCACUACGACGUGAGAACCUCUUACAAUGGUUCAUACUCUGUUACGCUAGGGAAACCUACAGUAGCACGUUACAGUGUCUUUUCCCCACGGUUUAGGAACGUAGUUUCUACGGUUACGAAUUACACCUCCAAUAUUUACUCCACCUACUCUCGUUACUUUACCUGCUCUUGGUACCUUAGGGGUUUCACCUGUUCAAUAUACAAAUGGCGUGUUGACGACCCCGUUCCCUACUACGCGGUUUAAAACAAUUUUAGGAUAUCUCGAUCAACUCUUAACGGACCAUAGAGGAACGACAUUUUCUACCAGCCGCCUUACCUUAGGCCGCCCCCGGACACCUGUCACCGUUCAGAGGGCGACGGGGGGAGCCGAAACAUCGCGGUCCUUUUCGGUGCAGUCACACGAGGAAUAGGACCUCGUAGAGACAGGCCCCUAGGUAGUAAGGGAAAAAUCGCAGACCAGUAUACCGGUGACGGAAAUAGGACACGUAAAAAGAAAAAGAAUUCUCCUGGUGGUUGGUUGGUUAGGAAGGAAAAAAGAAAAAGGAGAUGAUACGACAUGAGGCAUCGGUAAACGAAAACUGUAACCGUGUCACCUUACACGGAGACGACAGCGACAACGAGAACAACGUUUGCAAACAAACUUAGACUGGCUUUGCUGUUACCGGUUACUGGAACGAGGGCACUUUAGUACGUCGUCUCCGACCUUAUUAAACGACGAGUAGUCGGGUAAUGAAGUAAAAGCCGUGAAC